RNAcentral lists this transfer RNA (74 nucleotides) under Thitarodes pui. Its description in RNAcentral is "tRNA-Leu". Lineage: Eukaryota; Metazoa; Arthropoda; Insecta; Lepidoptera; Hepialidae. The record is from RNAcentral.
ACUAUUUUGACAGAAUUUAAUGUAUUGAAUUUAGAAUUCAUUUAUAAAUAUUUAUAUUAUAUAUUUAAAUAGUA